CUUUUGAAGAGCUCGCGUCUGAUUAGCUAGUUGGUGAGGUAAGAGCUCACCAAGGCAGCGAUCAGUAGCUGGUCUGAGAGGAUGACCAGCCACACUGGGACUGAGACACGGCCCAGACUCCUACGGGAGGCAGCAGUGGGGAAUUGUCGCAAUGGGCGAAAGCCUGACGGAGCAAGACCGCGUGAGGGAAGAAGGCUCUUGGGUUGUAAACCUCUUUUAUCAGGGAAGAAAAAAAUGACGGUACCAGAAGAAUCA
This 255-nucleotide ribosomal RNA is filed under the name uncultured cyanobacterium. Its description in RNAcentral is "partial 16S ribosomal RNA". It matches the Rfam family "Bacterial small subunit ribosomal RNA", at positions 219 to 489 of the family's 1533-position model. The record is from RNAcentral. Lineage: Bacteria; Bacillati; Cyanobacteriota.